ACGCUGGCGGCAGGCCUAACACAUGCAAGUCGAGCGGUAGAGAGAAGCUUGCUUCUCUUGAGAGCGGCGGACGGGUGAGUAAUGCCUAGGAAUCUGCCUGGUAGUGGGGGAUAACGUUCGGAAACGGACGCUAAUACCGCAUACGUCCUACGGGAGAAAGCAGGGGACCUUCGGGCCCUUGCGCUAUCAGAUGAGCCUAGGUCGGAUUAGCUAGUUGGUGGGGUAAUGGCUCACCAAGGCGACGAUCCGUAACUGGUCUGAGAGGAUGAUCAGUCACACUGGAACUGAGACACGGUCCAGACUCCUACGGGAGGCAGCAGUGGGGAAUAUUGGACAAUGGGCGAAAGCCUGAUCCAGCCAUGCCGCGUGUGUGAAGAAGGUCUUCGGAUUGUAAAGCACUUUAAGUUGGGAGGAAGGGCAGUUGCCUAAUACGUAACUGUUUUGACGUUACCGACAGAAUAAGCACCGGCUAACUCUGUGCCAGCAGCCGCGGUAAUACAGAGGGUGCAAGCGUUAAUCGGAAUUACUGGGCGUAAAGCGCGCGUAGGUGGUUUGUUAAGUUGGAUGUGAAAUCCCCGGGCUCAACCUGGGAACUGCAUUCAAAACUGACUGACUAGAGUAUGGUAGAGGGUGGUGGAAUUUCCUGUGUAGCGGUGAAAUGCGUAGAUAUAGGAAGGAACACCAGUGGCGAAGGCGACCACCUGGACUGAUACUGACACUGAGGUGCGAAAGCGUGGGGAGCAAAC
RNAcentral lists this ribosomal RNA (746 nucleotides) under uncultured bacterium. RNAcentral's name for it is "bacterial SSU rRNA". It matches the Rfam family "Bacterial small subunit ribosomal RNA", at positions 33 to 773 of the family's 1533-position model. The record is from RNAcentral.